Molecule: ribosomal RNA, 442 nt
Filed under: uncultured bacterium
Lineage: Bacteria
Description: partial 16S ribosomal RNA
Rfam family: Bacterial small subunit ribosomal RNA
Source: RNAcentral
CCUACGGGAGGCAGCAGUGGGGAAUAUUGGGCAAUGGGCGCAAGCCUGACCCAGCAACGCCGCGUGAAGGAAGAAGGCCUUCGGGUUGUAAACUUUUUUUAAGAGGGAAGAGCAGAAGACGGUACCUCUUGAAUAAGCCACGGCUAACUACGUGCCAGCAGCCGCGGUAAUACGUAGGUGGCAAGCGUUGUCCGGAUUUACUGGGUGUAAAGGGCGUGUAGCCGGAGAGGCAAGUCAGUUGUGAAAUCCGCGGGCUCAACUCGCGAACUGCAUUUGAUACUGCUUCCCUUGAGUAUCGGAGAGGUAAGCGGAAUUCGUGGUGUAGCGGUGAAAUGCGUAGAUAUUAGGAAGAACACCAGUGGCGAAGGCAGAUUACUGGACGACAACUGACGGUGAGGCGCGAAAGCGUGGGGAGCAAACAGGAUUAGAUACCCGGGUAGUC